Molecule: ribosomal RNA, 354 nt
Filed under: uncultured eukaryote
Lineage: Eukaryota
Description: SSU rRNA
Rfam family: Eukaryotic small subunit ribosomal RNA
Source: RNAcentral
CGAUAACGAACGAGACCUCGACCUGCUAAAUAGUUCGGCGAAUCUUUCGGGAUUCGUACGCGCUUCUUAGAGGGACUAUCGGUGUGUAGCCGAUGGAAGUUCGAGGCAAUAACAGGUCUGUGAUGCCCUUAGAUGUUCUGGGCCGCACGCGCGCUACACUGAUACGUUCAUCGAGCUUACAACCUUGACUGAGAGGUCUGGGUAAUCUUUUUAAAGCGUAUCGUGAUGGGGAUAGAUUAUUGUAAUUUUUAGUCUUCAACGAGGAAUUCCUAGUAAACGCGAUUCAUCAAAUCGCAUCGAUUACGUCCCUGCCCUUUGUACACACCGCCCGUCGCUACUACCGAUUGAAUGGCU